AUGUAUUGAAAUUUUUCAUUAAUUGGAACAUUUACUUACGGAUACGAACUUCGCCAAGGUUCUCGUAUUGAUUCUUUCCUCGUUCGUUGAUUUUCAAGUAACUCAUAAUUGUUCAAGAUUUUCUAAAUGUUUUGAGAAGUAUUCUUUAUUAAUUAUUCUUGCUCUGCGUAAAAGAGGUACGAUUAUUAAUCGAGUAAUGUGACUUCUGUUUAUGUUUAUAUAGCAACGGUUGAUAAGAAAAUAAAUGUGUAUUGUAUAUGCUGCACAGCAGGAUGUUGGCGAUUCGCUGUGAAAUGAGUCAAAUGAGUGUAGAAGAACCUUAGAAAAUGCCGCAUAUAUUUCAAAUAUUCAAACAAUAGUAUUUUAGAUUAUGUAUAUGUAUCUACAUACAUAUUUGCACCUACUACUACUUCUAGUAGCCUAAAGUUUAUAGUAAAGUAUAGUAACUACUAUACUAAAUGAAUGAGCAUAAUAAAUUGUGCUCGUAACUGGACUGAAUUCGAGAUGAAAAGUGACUUACUAUGUAUUUGAUUAAAAUAUUUCCCAAAUUGGAAACACGAAUUGUUUCUAAUCUCUGGUUGAUUCAAUACACCGAAAGACACAGCAGAAUAAAAUGAUUGAUUUUCAUAACCUUCGUCAUCUUCGGAGCUAUGCACUGUUUUUCGAAUAUCCCCGCUAGCACGAUAACCCAUUACUGUUUUUACUUAAAUUUGUGAAAAUAUUGUAAUUGCAACACGUUGUGUUUGUAAAUUAUAUGUUUCCGUUAAACUGGUAAAUUUAUAGGUGACUUGGGGUUUCAAAAUAACUCAAAUACUAUUCAGAGCCAUUUGGAAUGAUAGGUUCUUUUUUUGUUGUAGAAAUGCAAUUUCUACUACUUUUUGAAAUUUCACUCGUGUACAAGAUUAAUGGAAAUAUUUUGUUGUUAUUUAAAAUGUUUUUAUUACAUUUUUGCCAAAACAAAAACCUAUUUCAAUGAGUUCUUAUUUUUGUAAAGCAAUGGUGUAUUAAUAAUUCAAUGUAUUAAAUUCACUGUACAUUUACAAUACCAUACCGGUAUGUUAUAAAAACAAAUGAAACAAAUUUUAUAUAUUCGGUGCAAAAUAUCCUGUUUUGUUCUUCAUUGCUAUAAGAAAGUAAUUGAAUAAAAUUGAAGUCAUUGUUUUGUCUUAUAAA
Molecule: non-coding RNA, 1173 nt
Organism: Megalopta genalis
Lineage: Eukaryota; Metazoa; Arthropoda; Insecta; Hymenoptera; Halictidae
Source: RefSeq, a predicted model, not a curated record